This 351-nucleotide ribosomal RNA is filed under the name Florenciella parvula. RNAcentral's name for it is "partial Bacterial small subunit ribosomal RNA". It matches the Rfam family "Bacterial small subunit ribosomal RNA", at positions 466 to 816 of the family's 1533-position model. The record is from RNAcentral. Lineage: Eukaryota; Dictyochophyceae; Florenciellales.
GUUUUGUAUGUACCAUCAGAAAAAGGACCGGCUAAUUCCGUGCCAGCAGCCGCGGUAAUACGGAAGGUCCGGGCGUUAUCCGGAUUUAUUGGGUUUAAAGGGAGCGUAGGUGGAAGAUUAAGUCAGCCUGUGAAAGUUUGCGGCUCAACCGUAAAAUUGCAGUUGAUACUGGUUUUCUUGAGUGCAGUAGAGGUGGGCGGAAUUCGUGGUUAGCGGUGAAAUGCUUAGAUAUCACGAAGAACUCCGAUUGCGAAGGCAGCUCACUGGAGCGCAACUGACGCUGAAGCUCGAAAGUGCGGGUAUCGAACAGGAUUAGAUACCCUGGUAGUCCGCACGGUAAACGAUGGAUGC